GUAACACUAACUGGAGGACCGAACCGACUAAUGUUGAAAAAUUAGCGGAUGACCUGUGGCUGGGGGUGAAAGGCCAAUCAAACCGGGAGAUAGCUGGUUCUCCCCGAAAGCUAUUUAGGUAGCGCCUCGUGAAUUCAUCUCCGGGGGUAGAGCACUGUUUCGGCUAGGGGGCCAUCCCGGCUUACCAACCCGAUGCAAACUGCGAAUACCGGAGAAUGUUAUCACGGGAGACACACGGCGGGUGCUAAUGUCCGUCGUGAAGAGGGAAACAACCCAGACCGCCAGCUAAGGUCCCAAAGUCAUGGUUAAGUGGGAAACGAUGUGGGAAGGCCCAGACAGCCAGGAUGUUGGCUUAGAAGCAGCCAUCAUUUAAAGAAAGCGUAAUAGCUCACUGGUCGAGUCGGCCUGCGCGGAAGAUGUAACGGGGCUAAACCAUGCACCGAAGCUGCGGCAGCGACACCGUGUGUUGUUGGGUAGGGGAGCGUUCUGUAAGCCUGUGAAGGUGUGCUGUGAGGCAUGCUGGAGGUAUCAGAAGUGCGAAUGCUGACAUAAGUAACGAUAAAGCGGGUGAAAAGCCCGCUCGCCGGAAGACCAAGGGUUCCUGUCCAACGUUAAUCGGGGCAGGGUGAGUCGACCCCUAAGGCGAGGCCGAAAGGCGUAGUCGAUGGGAAACGGGUUAAUAUUCCCGUACUUGGUGUUACUGCGAAGGGGGGACGGAGAAGGCUAUGUUGGCCGGGCGACGGUUGUCCCGGUUUAAGCGUGUAGGUAUGUGUUCCAGGUAAAUCCGGUUCACUUUAACACUGAGGCGUGACGACGAGGCACUACGGUGCUGAAGCAACAAAUGCCCUGCUUCCAGGAAAAGCCUCUAAGCAUCAGGUAACAUCAAAUCGUACCCCAAACCGACACAGGUGGUCAGGUAGAGAAUACCAAGGCGCUUGAGAGAACUCGGGUGAAGGAACUAGGCAAAAUGGUGCCGUAACUUCGGGAGAAGGCACGCUGACACGUAGGUGAAGUGAUUUACUCACGGAGCUGAAGUCAGCCGAAGAUACCAGCUGGCUGCAACUGUUUAUUAAAAACACAGCACUGUGCAAACACGAAAGUGGACGUAUACGGUGUGACGCCUGCCCGGUGCCGGAAGGUUAAUUGAUGGGGUCAGCGCAAGCGAAGCUCCUGAUCGAAGCCCCGGUAAACGGCGGCCGUAACUAUAACGGUCCUAAGGUAGCGAAAUUCCUUGUCGGGUAAGUUCCGACCUGCACGAAUGGCGUAAUGAUGGCCAGGCUGUCUCCACCCGAGACUCAGUGAAAUUGAACUCGCUGUGAAGAUGCAGUGUACCCGCGGCAAGACGGAAAGACCCCGUGAACCUUUACUAUAGCUUGACACUGAACAUUGAGCCUUGAUGUGUAGGAUAGGUGGGAGGCUUUGAAGUGUGGACGCCAGUCUGCAUGGAGCCGACCUUGAAAUACCACCCUUUAAUGUUUGAUGUUCUAACGUGGACCCGUGAUCCGGGUUGCGGACAGUGUCUGGUGGGUAGUUUGACUGGGGCGGUCUCCUCCUAAAGAGUAACGGAGGAGCACGAAGGUUGGCUAAUCCUGGUCGGACAUCAGGAGGUUAGUGCAAUGGCAUAAGCCAGCUUGACUGCGAGCGUGACGGCGCGAGCAGGUGCGAAAGCAGGUCAUAGUGAUCCGGUGGUUCUGAAUGGAAGGGCCAUCGCUCAACGGAUAAAAGGUACUCCGGGGAUAACAGGCUGAUACCGCCCAAGAGUUCAUAUCGACGGCGGUGUUUGGCACCUCGAUGUCGGCUCAUCACAUCCUGGGGCUGAAGUAGGUCCCAAGGGUAUGGCUGUUCGCCAUUUAAAGUGGUACGCGAGCUGGGUUUAGAACGUCGUGAGACAGUUCGGUCCCUAUCUGCCGUGGGCGCUGGAGAACUGAGGGGGGCUGCUCCUAGUACGAGAGGACCGGAGUGGACGCAUCACUGGUGUUCGGGUUGUCAUGCCAAUGGCACUGCCCGGUAGCUAAAUGCGGAAGAGAUAAGUGCUGAAAGCAUCUAAGCACGAAACUUGCCCCGAGAUGAGUUCUCCCUGAGACUUUAGGUCUCCUGAAGGAACGUUGAAGACGACGACGUUGAUAGGCCGGGUGUGUAAGCGCAGCGAUGCGUUGAGCUAACCGGUACUAAUGAACCGUGAGGCUUAACCUUACAACGCCGAAG
Molecule: ribosomal RNA, 2205 nt
Filed under: Salmonella enterica
Lineage: Bacteria; Pseudomonadati; Pseudomonadota; Gammaproteobacteria; Enterobacterales; Enterobacteriaceae
Description: partial 23S ribosomal RNA
Rfam family: Bacterial large subunit ribosomal RNA
Source: RNAcentral